GACUUCAUGGCCUAAUAGAAAAGGUGUUAGUCUACGAAACCAAAGAUUCUGGGUUUGCUCCCCAGUGGAGUUU
This is a transfer RNA of Ipomoea nil (Japanese morning glory), 73 nucleotides long. It matches the Rfam family "tRNA". From Rfam's summary of the family: Transfer RNA (tRNA) molecules are approximately 80 nucleotides in length. Their secondary structure includes four short double-helical elements and three loops (D, anti-codon, and T loops). Further hydrogen bonds mediate the characteristic L-shaped molecular structure. tRNAs have two regions of fundamental functional importance: the anti-codon, which is responsible for specific mRNA codon recognition, and the 3' end, to which the tRNAs corresponding amino acid is attached (by aminoacyl-tRNA synthetases). tRNAs cope with the degeneracy of the genetic code in two manners: having more than one tRNA (with a specific anti-codon) for a particular amino acid; and 'wobble' base-pairing, i.e. permitting non-standard base-pairing at the 3rd anti-codon position. Lineage: Eukaryota; Viridiplantae; Streptophyta; Magnoliopsida; Solanales; Convolvulaceae. The record is from Rfam.